CAGCAAGUUCACCUCCACCAGCUGUGUCUUCUCCACCACCGUCUGUAGCAUCUCCACCGGCUACUUCACCACCACCAGUAGCUGCUUCUACUCCUCCGCCUGUUAGCGCUCCGCCACCAGCUACUCCUCCACCAGUGAGCACUCCGCCACCAGCUACUCCACCACCAGUGAGCGCUCCGCCACCGGCUACUCCGCCACCAGCUGCAGCACCUUCACCGGUAGCAACUCCACCAGCUGCAACUCCGGCUCCUGCUCCAAAGGCGGU
Molecule: long non-coding RNA, 265 nt
Filed under: Capsicum annuum
Lineage: Eukaryota; Viridiplantae; Streptophyta; Magnoliopsida; Solanales; Solanaceae
Description: long non-coding RNA (CANN_LNC013225)
Source: RNAcentral